This 431-nucleotide ribosomal RNA is filed under the name uncultured bacterium. RNAcentral describes it as "partial 16S ribosomal RNA". It matches the Rfam family "Bacterial small subunit ribosomal RNA", at positions 29 to 507 of the family's 1533-position model. The record is from RNAcentral.
AACGAACGCUGGCGGCAGGCCUAACACAUGCAAGUCGAGCGCCCUUUCGGGGGAGCGGCGGACGGGUGAGUAACGCGUGGGAAUAUGCCCUUCUCUACGGAAUAACCUCGGGAAACUGAGAGUAAUACCGUAUACGCCCUAUGGGGGAAAGAUUUAUCGGGGAAGGAUUAGCCCGCGUUGGAUUAGGUAGUUGGUGGGGUAAUGGCCUACCAAGCCGACGAUCCAUAGCUGGUUUGAGAGGAUGAUCAGCCACACUGGGACUGAGACACGGCCCAGACUCCUACGGGAGGCAGCAGUGGGGAAUCUUAGACAAUGGGGGCAACCCUGAUCUAGCCAUGCCGCGUGAGUGAUGAAGGCCUUAGGGUUGUAAAGCUCUUUCAGCUGGGAAGAUAAUGACGGUACCAGCAGAAGAAGCCCCGGCUAACUCCGUG